This is a long non-coding RNA of Dreissena polymorpha, 1746 nucleotides long. RefSeq lists it as uncharacterized. The record is from RefSeq and is a predicted model, not a curated record. The transcript is spliced from 3 exons. NCBI's taxonomy places the organism in Eukaryota, Metazoa, Mollusca, Bivalvia, Myida, Dreissenidae.
ACCACCGGGGAUGAACAACUUUUGUCACGUGACCGCAAAAGUCAACGCCGGUUGCAGAAACAGAUUGUAAUCUUGUACAUUAAGAAACAUGACGCUCGUGUGUGAAAUCUGUGGAAAGACAUUUAAAUCGAAGUGGGGGUUAAAGCUUCAUGAUAAGCGCCACAGAGGGACUGGACGAUUCGCCUGUUGUGGAAAAACAUUUUACACAAAACAGGCGUUCAACAGACACAGAUGCAGCAUUCAUGGUGUUGAAAAGCCGUUCCCCUGUGAACAAUGCGGCAAAAAGUUUUCAACCAAAGAUGACCUGAAUCGUCACGUCCGGAGGGAGGUUGCUGCAAAGCAAUUUACCUGCUCAAUUUGCAAUGCAACGCUCCGGGAGAAAAUUGACCUUCAGGCCCACCUUGCCACCCACAAUGGAGAGAAAAACUUUGCUUGUGAUAUGUGUGAAAAGAGGUACAGGCACCGCAGUAGUCUAUCAAAGCACAGAUCUGCAAAGCACCGGGCCUAGUCAUCUGUUGCAUGACGAUGAUAAGACCAAGAAUUAUUUUUAAUUCUUACCAAUGUGCCGUGGUUAUUUUCUUAAUUAUUGAAAAUACAGACUGUCAUACAAUAAUAUAUAGUAUUACGCGUGUUUUUGCGUCUUAAACAUUGUGUUUCAUAUCGUUUAUCUUGUGUUGUUUUGUUUGAUAUUCCUGUUUUUAAUAAGAUUAUUGUUGUAAUAUUUAUCAUUCUAAUUUAAAAUGAUUAUGAUAAUGGUUGAUCUCAUACAAAUUAUUGUGUUCAUUAUUGCUCAUCUGUGAUUACUGUUGAUCUCAGCCCAUGAAUUGUGAUUUAUAUUGAUUAUCUGUGAUUAUUGUUGAUCUUAUCAAAAUAAUUGUAAUUUAUGUUGAUUAUCUGUGAAUUUUUUAUCUUAACCUAUUAAUAGUGAUUUAUAUUAUCUGUGAUUAUUGUUGAUCUUAUCAAAAUCAUUGUGAUUUAUGUUGAUUAUCUGUGAUUAUUGUUGAUCUCAACCGAUUAAUUGUGAUUUAUAUAACCAGUGAUUAUUGUUGAUCUUUUCAAAAUCAUUGUAAUUUAUGUUGAUUAUCUGUGAUUAUUGUUGAUCUUUUCGAAAUCAUUGUAAUUUAUGUUGAUUAUCUGUGAUUAUUGUUGAUCUUUUCGAAAUCAUUGUAAUUAAUGUUGAUUAUCUGUGAUUAUUGUUGAUCUUUUCAAAAUCAUUGUAAUUUAUGUUGAUUAUCUGUGAUUAUUGUUGAUCUCACCAUAUCCGCUGGAAUAUACAUUUGAGCCGCGCUCUGUGAAAAGGGGGUUUAAUGCAUGUGCGUAAAGUGCAGUCCACAUAGGCUAAUCAGGGACGGCACUUUCCGCUUUUAUGAUAUGUUUUGUUAAAAGAAAGUCUCUUCUGAGCAAAAAUCGAGUUUAUCGGAAAGGUUUGUCCCUAAUUAGCCUGUACGGAAUGCACAGGCUAAUAUGUGACGACACCUUACGCACAUGCAUUAAACCCCCUUUUCACAGAGCGAGACUCAUUUGUAAUCUGCGAUUUUUGUUUAUCUAUUUCGAAUCAAUAUGAUUAAAAUAUAUUUUUGGUGAGUUAGCUUUUUGUCUCAUUGGAAUCAUUGUGCGAAUUGUCAACAAUUACAUGUAAAUCUGUAAUUCCUUCUCAAGUUGCACAUAGGCCAGUUUAAUGUUUUGCGUAUAAGCUAUUAUUGCGAUACGGGAUAUUCUUUGCAGCAAUAAAACAAUUAAUCUGCA